This 329-nucleotide unclassified non-coding RNA is filed under the name soil metagenome. RNAcentral's name for it is "partial contains 5.8S ribosomal RNA, internal transcribed spacer 2, and large subunit ribosomal RNA". The stretch from base 1 to 120 matches the Rfam family "5.8S ribosomal RNA", at positions 35 to 154 of the family's 154-position model. The record is from RNAcentral.
GAAGAAGAACGUAGCGAAAUGCGAUAAGUAGUGUGAAUUGCAGAAUUCAGUGAAUCAUCGAAUCUUUGAACGCACAUUGCGCCCCUUGGUAUCCCGAGGGGCAUGCCUGUUCGAGCGUCAUUUCACCACUCAAGCCUGGCUUGGUGUUGGGCGACGUCCUCUUUGGGGACGCGCCUCGAAACGCUCGGCGGCGUGGCACCGGCUUUAAGCGUAGCAGAAUCUUUCGCUUUGGAAGUCGGGGCCCCGUCUGCCGGAAGACCUGCUCGCAAGGUUGACCUCGGAUCAGGCAGGGAUACCCGCUGAACUUAAGCAUAUCAAUAAGCGGAGGA